AACCGGUAAGUCUCGUGCAGGUGCACUUCUUCCGGCCGGAGGCUACAAACUGCUACGUUUACAAACCGGGCACCUGCUGGCUGUUCCCUCGGACCUUCUGGGCUGCAAAGGAUCCACAUCCAACAUCUUUAUCCCGAGAGAGCCUGCAUUCUCCCCCUUAUAGGGAAUCUCCUCUCUAUUUUGGAGUAACGCACGAGGCGCAGUCCUGUGGUCUUCCUUUUUCUACCUCUACACAAGUAGCUAAAAGAGGCAAACAAAAGAUCCUCUACAUUAUUCUAUAACAGCCUGUGCGGCACCAUAUAAGAAAAAUAGUCCUGGACUGCUUUUGUAACAUCUGAAGACAUGCUGAAGUGCAUUAUUUGGGGGUGACUGCCCCGUUUAUUGUAGAGGUACUAUUUUUCUUGCUAUUAUAGAGAAAUGCAAAGUUGUAAACAACAAGCCAAGUUUCCACUAAUCAAACUUGGAUAUCGAGAGCAGAUUUAGCCUAAGAAAGUCCCGUAAUUCUGUUGCUUUCAGAACAUGAGAGGGAUGAACCAUUAGGCUGCAGACACUGUAGGCGCUUCCUCUCUUUUAAGUCGCAGAACUACUCGAAGGAGGCACUUAUGGCGAACGGCAGCACUCUCCGUAAAUGGGGAGCGAGGCUUUGAACACCUGGUCGGCACAAUAGGAUCUAAGAGGAACUAAUGGCGAAGAGAGCGAAGCUCUGGGAUGUGGAGAGCCGGAGCUCAUUACCGUCUUCUUACAAAAGGACAGUAAUCUAACCGAGGGACAAAGUGAGGGGAUCUGAAGAGCCCCUGGAUGUCUCCGACAAUACAUUACACCAUCACUGUUCUCCAAGAAUUCUGUCCUUUACCAUAGUUCAUAAAAAUAAUGUACCGGAGCAAAUCCCCACUCAGAACCUACAAAUAAAUCAUGCCUUAUAAAACAGACCACUAGGGGUCCCCAUACCAUCCCGAACAUAAUUAUAUCCGGCUGCAGCAUCAGCUAGCACUCCUCUGUGCUCACUCCUGUCCUAUCAGACUGCAGAAUGAAAACAGAGAGGAGGGGGUUACAGGGCAGCGUGCAGUGAUUGGAUGAAGAGAUCCAGCACAGCAGGCAAAGAGAGGAAGCUGAGUCAUGCAAAAUGAGGACACGCCCCCUUCAGAGCACAGAAUGGCAAACCAAGUGAGCAAC
Long non-coding RNA from Hyla sarda, 1173 nucleotides. RefSeq lists it as uncharacterized. Lineage: Eukaryota; Metazoa; Chordata; Amphibia; Anura; Hylidae. The transcript is spliced from 3 exons. The record is from RefSeq and is a predicted model, not a curated record.